UAUUGGUAUAAACGUUUAAUAAAAAUGCAUACAUACAUAACCCAUGGUCGGCAUGGAAUUUUGUCACUUGGCACAGCACUUUAAUGUUUUUUAAUGUUUGUCCCACAUUAAAAUAUAUUGAGUCAAUGACAGUGCAACUCUUCAUAUUAAAACGUUCUAAUCACAUUUUACAUGCACAUUUGUAUUCAGUAGUAAUCUUUUCAUAAAGGUACAUCAAAGUCCCAAAUCAAAUUCUUCACUGACAGUAUGUUAUUGACUCCCAAACGACAAGUAUUAUAAAACACGCUUCCAAGCUGAAAAGAAA
This is a non-coding RNA of Paramuricea clavata, 304 nucleotides long. The record is from the annotation of a GenBank genome assembly. Lineage: Eukaryota; Metazoa; Cnidaria; Anthozoa; Malacalcyonacea; Plexauridae.